This is a long non-coding RNA of Seriola aureovittata, 722 nucleotides long. RefSeq lists it as uncharacterized. NCBI's taxonomy places the organism in Eukaryota, Metazoa, Chordata, Actinopteri, Carangiformes, Carangidae. The transcript has 3 exons. The record is from RefSeq and is a predicted model, not a curated record.
UCAGCCCUGAGAAGUUUGUUGACUUUGGCAGAGAGUGAAUUCGUCCUUAACUUUGGUUUAGAGAGUUACACCAUCUGGUUGAGGACGUAAUGCAGUCUGCAGAAGACAGAAAGCACCAGGAAACUCUCUCUGGACCUUGUGAGGAGGAAAUGUCUCCAAGCAGCUAUAGCAACGACCUGAACUGCGGCCGCCGGCUAGAACACCUUGUUGGACUGUUGCAGCCUGAAAUCCACUCACAGCUCUUCCCAGCCCAUUACCCACCUUUCCCUUGGUGACAUGCCAUGGACUUGCUCCUUGAAAAUUGUCCACAUUCAAUACAAGUGAAACAAGGUGAUACUUCAUUGAUCUUACAGGGGACACAAAGAAGUCAGAGCACAGCAGGACACAGAAUACAAAGCUGGAGGGGAUUUCAUAUGUUUGUUAAGGACUCUCGAGUAAAAUGGAUUCUGGAUUUCAGGGCAGGGCAGACAUGCCCUCUAUGCAUUGCUGUUGCCCCAAAUCUUGAGAUGUGUCCUACAAGGCCUAAAAGCAACUACAGAGAAUCAUAAGUCCCAGCCACAGUUCAGCACUACACCCUGCACUCAGAGCCCCAAGAAUCCCACUUUUCCUUUUUAAAAUACUUUUUAUAUAACCUCACACUACACAUUGUAAUCUUUGCCACUACUCUUUUUUUCUUUUGAGCUCUGGUGGUGUAUAAAUAAUAAUGGGCUUUCUUCUUUGAA